CGCUAGCUACAGGCUUAACACGUGCAAGUCGAGGGGCAGCAUGGUCUUAGCUUGCUAAGGCCGAUGGCGACCGGCGCACGGGUGAGUAACACGUAUCCAACCUGCCGUCUACUCUUGGACAGCCUUCUGAAAGGAAGAUUAAUACAAGAUGGCAUCAUGAGUCCGCAUGUUCACAUGAUUAAAGGUAUUCCGGUAGACGAUGGGGAUGCGUUCCAUUAGAUAGUAGGCGGGGUAACGGCCCACCUAGUCUUCGAUGGAUAGGGGUUCUGAGAGGAAGGUCCCCCACAUUGGAACUGAGACACGGUCCAAACUCCUACGGGAGGCAGCAGUGAGGAAUAUUGGUCAAUGGGCGAGAGCCUGAACCAGCCAAGUAGCGUGAAGGAUGACUGCCCUAUGGGUUGUAAACUUCUUUUAUAAAGGAAUAAAGUCGGGUAUGCAUACCCGUUUGCAUGUACUUUAUGAAUAAGGAUCGGCUAACUCCGUGCCAGCAGCCGCGGUAAUACGGAGGAUCCGAGCGUUAUCCGGAUUUAUUGGGUUUAAAGGGAGCGUAGAUGGAUGUUUAAGUCAGUUGUGAAAGUUUGCGGCUCAACCGUAAAAUUGCAGUUGAUACUGGAUAUCUUGAGUGCAGUUGAGGCAGGCGGAAUUCGUGGUGUAGCGGUGAAAUGCUUAGAUAUCACGAAGAACUCCGAUUGCGAAGGCAGCCUGCUAAGCUGCAACUGACAUUGAGGCUCGAAAGUGUGGGUAUCAAACAGGAUUAGAUACCCUGGUAGUCCACACGGUAAACGAUGAAUACUCGCUGUUUGCGAUAUACGGCAAGCGGCCAAGCGAAAGCGUUAAGUAUUCCACCUGGGGAGUACGCCGGCAACGGUGAAACUCAAAGGAAUUGACGGGGGCCCGCACAAGCGGAGGAACAUGUGGUUUAAUUCGAUGAUACGCGAGGAACCUUACCCGGGCUUAAAUUGCAGAUGAAUUACGGUGAAAGCCGUAAGCCGCAAGGCAUCUGUGAAGGUGCUGCAUGGUUGUCGUCAGCUCGUGCCGUGAGGUGUCGGCUUAAGUGCCAUAACGAGCGCAACCCUUGUUGUCAGUUACUAACAGGUUCCGCUGGGGACUCUGACAAGACUGCCAUCGUAAGAUGUGAGGAAGGUGGGGAUGACGUCAAAUCAGCACGGCCCUUACGUCCGGGGCUACACACGUGUUACAAUGGGGGGUACAGAGGGCCGCUACCACGCGAGUGGAUGCCAAUCCCAAAAACCUCUCUCAGUUCGGACUGGAGUCUGCAACCCGACUCCACGAAGCUGGAUUCGCUAGUAAUCGCGCAUCAGCCACGGCGCGGUGAAUACGUUCCCGGGCCUUGUACACACCGCCCGUCAAGCCAUGGGAGCCGGGGGUACCUGAAGUGCGUAACCGCGAGGAGCGCCCUAGGGUAAAACUGGUGACUGGGGCUAAG
RNAcentral lists this ribosomal RNA (1447 nucleotides) under uncultured organism. RNAcentral describes it as "SSU rRNA". It matches the Rfam family "Bacterial small subunit ribosomal RNA". The record is from RNAcentral.